Molecule: ribosomal RNA, 253 nt
Filed under: uncultured bacterium
Lineage: Bacteria
Description: partial 16S ribosomal RNA
Rfam family: Bacterial small subunit ribosomal RNA
Source: RNAcentral
UACGGAGGGUGCGAGCGUUGUCCGGAAUCACUGGGCGUAAAGGGCGCGUAGGCGGUCUGCUAAGCGUGUGGUGAAAGCUCGGGGCUCAACCCCGAGUCUGCCAUGCGAACUGGUGGACUUGAGCACUGUAGAGGCAGGUGGAAUUCCGGGUGUAGCGGUGGAAUGCGUAGAGAUCCGGAAGAACACCAGUGGCGAAGGCGGUCUGCUGGGCAGUUGCUGACGCUAAAGCGCGACAGCGUGGGGAGCAAACAGG